Molecule: ribosomal RNA, 301 nt
Filed under: uncultured bacterium
Lineage: Bacteria
Description: partial 16S ribosomal RNA
Rfam family: Bacterial small subunit ribosomal RNA
Source: RNAcentral
CAGUAGCCGCGGUAACACGGAGGGUGCAAGCGUUAAUCGGAAUUACUGGGCGUAAAGCGCACGCAGGCGGUCUGACAAGUCAGAUGUGAAAUCCCCGGGCUUAACCUGGGAACUGCAUUUGAAACUGUCAGGCUGGAGUCUUGUAGAGGGGGGUGGAAUUCCAGGUGUAGCGGUGAAAUGCGUAGAGAUCUGGAGGAAUACCGGUGGCGAAGGCGGCCCCCUGGACAAAGACUGACGCUCAGGUGCGAAAGCGUGGGGAGCAAACAGGAUUAGAGACCCGGGUAGUCCCUGUCUCUUAUAC